This is a long non-coding RNA of Panicum virgatum (switchgrass), 449 nucleotides long. RefSeq lists it as uncharacterized. Lineage: Eukaryota; Viridiplantae; Streptophyta; Magnoliopsida; Poales; Poaceae. The record is from RefSeq and is a predicted model, not a curated record. The transcript is spliced from 3 exons.
CACAUUUGUGUUUCAAUUGACUAUGAAUACAAACAACAAUGGAUGCUAGGCAUUUUCCUAUCUCAGCGAAGUUCCCACAAUUCAGUAACAAGAACAGGACACUGGUGGUCCAGUACUCCAUCAAGUUUGAGCAGGAUAUUGAGUGCGGUGGUGGAUAUAUUAAGCUUAUGUCCGGUUAUGUCAACCAGAAAAAUUUAGUGGGGACACUCCAUAUAGCCUCUAUUGUUAGAACUGUGGAUUUUGCUGCUGAGGUACAAGAUGUGCUUAGAAAUCUUAGUGGCAACAGGGAAUCAAUGAAGGGAAUAAAGUCAUGGUUUAUGCAGAGGGCAGAGGGUGCUGUUUGUGUCGGCUCUGCCUCAAGUUCUUAAGGAAAGAGUAUUUGCCUUUGAGGAUUCAGAGGGGCAGCUGCACAUUAUUUUCCUGGUGAAUGAUAUUUUGUUUGAAAGGUA